CUCAUGCCUGCUGAGCCCUCUCAUCCCGGCAGCAGGGCUGGGAGUCCUGGAGCAGAGGGACCUCCUCUCAUCGUCUUUGUUUCCAAAGGCUCACGUCUAGCAGGAGCUGAGCCAAGCCCCAGGUUUCCGCAGGAAAGGCGGAGAGGAGUGUUCCAAUCCAAUGACCAGAAUGUGCUCGCAUCCCCGGCAGCACUGAGAUCAGGGCCGGCCCAUUUCUGCCUGGAUGCCUGCUGGGGAGGGGUUGGCAUGGCAACAUGAGCUCUGAGCUGCUGAAACUUGGAGUCAACUCGUAGCUGGGAGGACAGAAAGAACGACGGAAGAGGAUGCUUUCCCAUGCGACGCAGGUGAGACAAAUCCAGGCUAAUCCCUGAAAGCCACAUCCCAGAAGCAGAACCGGGGUCCAGGGUCUGGUGUGAACACGUGCUGUAGCAACGACUCCCACCAACACAGCUGUACCAGGUAAAUGUCUAUUCACCCUUCCAUGUCCAAAGCACCUGCCUCCCCUUCCUUGAAGCCCUCCCCAGCCUCCCUACCCCUCCCAUCUCUCCCUCCCUUGCAUAUCCCCAACUGUCCCUCUAAUCUGGUACUUGCCGGUUUGCACAUAAGGCCCCCCACCAGCCUGGGAGCUCCCAGUGGAGUCUCAAACACCAACACAGGCCUGAAUCCUAGCCUGCUCCAGCGCUAUGGAUGUGGCAGACCUACUUUGCUGCCCCACACCAAUGCAAGGGGAGGGCCAUGAGCUACACCAGGCCAGUCGGCACCCCAGCAGCCUCUUGACCCCACUGAAUGGUCACACGACCCUAGCCCUUCCUGGACCCCUCGAGAAAGAGGCCUGCAUUUUCUCUGAGAUGGAAGCACUAAGAGCCUAAAGCUUCUGGAGCCCUCCUGGAGAGUGAAUCCAGUUCAGAGGAAAACAGACCUUAGGGCUGGAAGGAGAGAGGUCAAGUCCUGGUGACAUCUUUGAGCUCCAGUUUCCCUGUGCCUGAGGCCAAUGCAAGCCCCAGAGUUUCUAACUAAUGAGUUGGCAAAGUACCUUUUUCUUUGCUCUAGACACUUUGAGCUGGGUUUCUGUCACUUGCCCCCAAAAGGAUCCUGACUAAUAUAUACCUGCUACUUGAUUUUUCCAAAACUUAAUUCUUAUCAGUUCCCUUGCUGUGCAAACCUCCCUUGGUACCCCCUGGCUUGCCUACUGGGAAAAGGGGGUCUCCCUCCCGAGUCCUCGAAGGCCUGGUGAGACCUGGUGCCUGUGGUUUGUGCCCCAUGAGCAUCCCUUAGGAGACAGCAGUGCAGACAUUAUAAGCACAAACUCUGGUGUCAGAAGUGCAGGUUCAGGUCCUGCUUCUGAUAUUGGACAAGGUGCUUAACUGACUCUCUGAGCUGUAGUUUUCUCAUCUGUUAAGCACACAUAGUAACAAUAUCUCAGGGUAGUUAGCGAGGAUGGAUGGGCAGCACUUAGCAUGGUGCCUGACACAUCUCUAAUACAGUCAGCCCUCUGAAUCCACGGUUCCUCACUCCUCCAUAUCCGUGGAUGCGGAUCCCACAGAUACGGAGGGCUGACUCUAAGGGACUUGAGCGUCUCUGGAUUUUGGUAUCUGUGGGAGGUCCUGGAACCAAUCCCCUGUGGAUACUGAAGGACGACUGUAAUAUUACUUUAUUACUACUACUACUACUGUUAAUUUCUUUGUUGCAAGGGCCCUCAAGAUACAGCUGGAGCCUUUGAAGUUUCCUCCUCGUGUGCUUGGUUGCUUGACAAAAAGCGUGCCCUGCUAUCCCAAAUGAGGGGCGGGGAUGGUGCAGGGGAUGCCGGGCCUCCAUCUCCAGACAGGACUGUCUAUUGUGGGCUGCUUGUGCAAGCCCAAGUCACAGGCCUCUGCAGAAGCCAGAUGCAGGCAGUGGGGCCAUAAAAUUUUCAAAACGAAAUUUUCCAUGGGAGCUAUUAAUGCGUCAUGUGGUUUCUGAGAAUAGGAACAGGCUGCAAGCAGCUCUGUGGCGCUCCUUCAAUCAGUCAGCCUCGGCAUUUCCAUGUCAGAACUCAGAAAGCCCAGAUAAAGGCAAUUCCUGCGUGACCGGAAAGCAAAUCUUAAGCCAAGUUGAAGUUAUAUGUGCUGGGGUGCCCCAACCAACCUAGUGUUUAGAGUUGCAAGACCUCUGGGUUCAGGACCUUGUGUAGCAGGGAUGUGGGCCAGUUGCCUGGGAGUGUGGGCUCCAUAUGGGGUGGGGCUGAGUUCAAAGAUCUGGCCACCCUACCCUCUAUGGUCUGCCAUUCCAGAAUCAUCUGUUGGUGACUGAAAUGGGGACUGUUAAGGAGAAGGCUGGAUGGUGGCUGAUACCUAAAUCCACCCCUGCGCCAUCCUGAGCGGCAUCUUCUCUCAUUCCUAGGUACCCUUGUAUUAGGUUCAGGAACCUGCCUGCAGCCAGAUCUGUCUGCCUAGAGUCUGCUGAGGGCUGAAGCCCAUAGGGCGCCUGCCAGUCCUUUGCCCUCACGACGGCUGAACCCAGGGUGGGGAGGUGCUGGGGGGUGAGGGCUUCCUGCAUAAUGAAUAUCAGGUCUGAGAUGGCCCUGUUCACAGGGUCUGCUCCACUUGGCAUUGACAGGGCAGCUCCAGGGCAGGACUGGAGCAGGCAGUUGUUGACCACUGGAGAGGUCACGUGCCAACAGCUGAGCAUCUAGACAGGCCUGGGCCUCCUACUUCAAGAGCUCUGAGCCUGCCCAGGUGCUGAGGUUUGUGCCUGAGCCUCACCUUGCAAGUGGCCAGAAGCCGGGCAUCCUGGAACUCCCUAGCAGGUCACGUCACCUGCCUCAGGUGAGCCCUGUGUUGUCUGCUGUGUGACCAGCUGAGUGCCAGCCCCCAACAAGUUCCCUGCUGGCCAGUGCCACUCAGGAGAGUCCUUCCUCAGGGACGGACACUAGGAGGAAUCUCGCUUCUCUCAGGCUCCGCUGUUGAGGCUUUUGUCCCAGCAAAGUCCCUGCUUCACUGACAUGAGAGCUGAUGUUAAUGGUCCCUGAGCCGAACAAGGCUUGGAACAUACUUCACUUAAGAAGAAAUGACAACAUACUUUCUGUGGGAGUGGAACUUUAAAUACAAGUCCACACAAAUGGCAGGAUUUAUGCAGACUCAGUGUUCAGCUGGGUUUCAAAUACAGCCUUUCCUCCUGGAAUGGAUUGGCUGGCAGAGCAGUGUGUAGGCAUUUCAAGGCACCAGAGAACACAGAUGAAGACAACAAACCUCCCUAAAACAGAAUAGACUUGCUAAAAUUCUUCUGAAAGGAAUCAUUUCACAUUCAGCCUGAAGUUUUCUAUGCAAAGAACAUUUAACAAACUGAGUCCUAGAGGAGAAUUUAUGCAAAGAUUAAAAAGCAAAUCAGUGCGAAUGAGUAAAUAAAAUCAGGCAUCAGCAUCUCACCAACCUUCCCUGUAGCUCUGGGCAGCUGGGCCCGAGGGCUGCAUUUCUGAACCGAGACUGGAUCUCACUCCCCACUGAGGGCUGAGGUCCUUGUCCUGGGCCCUUUCAGAGGCCUUGGACACCAGGCCACUGCUAUCCUCAGGUCCUGCCUCUGCACACGGCACCACAGGAGCCCUUGGCUCUGAGAGAACCAGCCAGAAGACCUGAGAGAGGAUGGCCCAGCUCAGGCCGAACCAUGGACUGCUUGCUUGGGGAGGCCUCCGACCUGCCUGCAGGGCUGUCCUGGGCCUGCUCCAGAAGGUAUAACUGGGAGGGGAUUGGGGGCUGCUGUCUGCUACCCUGGGGAGUGGGACUUAGAGCUACAUUUGCAUAAGAAUGUGAAUUAGUCAUUUGUCCACAGCAAAGACCAGUGGGGAAGACAUCAUGGGGAUCUAUAGCCCCCCAAGUUCCCUCUAAUUGCUACCACCAAAACUGCUUCCAGGGGUCUUCUGAGGCUCUGGGUUCCAGUUAACCCCUGCCUCUCUGGUAGUGGUGCCCUGUCUAUACCUGCUCUUAGCUGUUGAAUCCUACACUUCUGAAAAGGGAGACAAGAACUCUUGAAUGGAGACCACAUGUCCCCAGAUUGCUGGUGUAGACAUUGCUAAUGUAGACAGUGACGUGUUUCCAUUCAGGAGUGACUAACUUAAAAAGAUACGCAUGCUUUGCCUUUGUGAAGAUCCGGGUUAGACUUUUCUUCCCUUUUUGCCCACAUCUGCCUGCAAGCCUAGGACAGGCCUCUUACGUCGCUUCUUCUGGCCCCUAGAGCAGUGCGGGCCUACUUUCUAGGCAUGAGGCAAGAUUGCACCUCCUGGUCCCCUUGCAGUUGGGUGUGACUAGCUCUGACCCACAAGCUGUGAGUGAAAGUGAUGUGUGUCACUGCUGGGCCAGAGUACUUCACAGCAGGUAUAUGCGGUUGGUCCUGGGGGCCAAGCAGGGCCUGCAGGGGAUGGGAGGAGGGAGCUUCGAGAUGAAGCCAACAGCCUGGGGUGUCAGAGCCCAGAGGCCAGGCGUGGUCAGACGCUGCCAGGUCGUGCUGGCUGACUGGUGCCCGCCAGGGCUGGUGAGGGGCAGAGGCAGAGGCAGAGGCAGGGGCAGGGCAGCAGCUGUCGAGCUGGGAGGCUGGAGGUGCUCGGCAUCCAUUCCCUAUGAGUCAGAUGCUGCUCGGGGUAUUUCACAGCAAGGGCCCAAGAAUUUCUGGGGGCAGAGCCUUGCUUUCUAGGGUGUGUGGGGGGUCCUCCUAGAGGGUAUGGAGACAGGAAAGUGGUGGGUGGUGGGUGAAACAAGCAGUGAGCAAGGGAGGGAGGUAAGAUGGGGUGGCAGAGAGAGCUGAGAGUAGGCGCAAGGAAGGCAGUGUCACUCAGGAGUCCUGCCUGCCAGCCUGUGCCCUCGAUGGCCACAGUGACCGCCAGAUCCCAGAUUACAGGCCGGGAGGAGACGCCGGGGGAGGAGCAGCUGUGGAAAAUGGGCUUGAGAAGAGGCUCCAAUGCAUGCACUUACAGUUUACCCCUAGGUGGUUCUGUUUAACUUAAGUGCUUAGAAUCCGGUUAGCAUCCAACCCAUACCACACAGACCUCAGAGUAGUGAGAGCCUGGUGUGUGCUGGCUGCACUCUGGAAGGACUGAGUGACCCCCUGGCUGUGACCCUCUGGCUGGCUUCGGGUCUGGGCAGCCACCCAGCUUGACGCUACCUGCACCACCCCCACUGCUAGACAGAAGGUGCACAGGGUAUCUCACCGGGCUUUCCGGUAGAGAUUUGGAAAGAACAUUUCCAGAACAGAGGUCAGCACCAAUGCGAAAACAGUCUAUGCAGUUUCAACCAGAUUUGCUUUAAGAAACAGGUCCAACAGGAGGCCUAAGCGGCUUGAUCCUCAUCUCUCCCUCAGCUCUCUUCCCCCUGGUCCUGGGCCACCAUCCUUCUUGUUCCCUUCCUGCCCUUGGGACUGCUCUUUCUCCGAGCCCUUUGUUGUCCCCUCCUCCCUGGCCCACCCCUUAGGAGCUGGACCUUCCCCUGCCUCCUCUCUCUUCUCUUGGUUGAUCUCUCAUGGGUCACCUGUUCCCAGGUGAUAGCCAGCCCAGGUGUCUCUCCUGACCUCUGACCCCAUGAAUUUAAUUGACAGCUCUCUACCUUCCCCUAAAAGUUUAUCAUUUGUCUUCCUCUACUUCCCCAACACCAGCUCUGUCUCCUGAGUGGUCCUAGGCCCCUGGACCUCCUCCAUACCCACCUCCUGUCACCCAGCCCACGGUUCUGCCUCCCUAACCCCUUGCAUCCAUUCCCAUGGCUACACCCAGUUCAGGCCUCACCCUCUCCCACCUAGAUGCUGUGACAGCCAUCACCUGGUCCCCCUGCAGCUGGCCUUCCUCCUCUGAUCCACAUGGCAGCUGGUGGCAUCUUUCUAAACUACACAUUAGGUCACAUUGCUCCCCUGCUAAACUCUUCAGUGGCCCUUGCUGACCCCAGGAAGAUGCACCUGGCAGAGAAGGACAGGAAAGGGGGGGCGAGGCCCUGCAGCCUGAUUGCUUUGCAUCCGCCUACUUCUGAAGUCCCGGGGACCCCGACCUGCGCAAUUUCCCCUGAAGCCCUUCUAGCCCUCCAUGCCUUUGCUGAGGCAGUUUCCUGCAGCCAUCAUCUGUGCGAAGGGAUGAGGCCUCAGCAGAGGCGCUCAGGGUUUGGAAGUCACAGUGAUGGUCUCUUCACCAAACCCCAGCCAGUCCCCUCCUCUGUGGCCCCAGGGAUAACUAGAGACCUUUGGCCCGGCUCAACUGAGCCAUUUCUCUCUUGACCUUGUUAGUUUCCAUGCAUUUAUUGCAUGUUUGCAGUCUGCACACCAGAAAGGUAACCAGCCUCCCAUACUUUCAGAUCUACCACACUAGACACAGAACUGAGAGAGCGAAGGCUUGAGCAAUGUUGGCAAAUUCCAUACCUCAAAACAAAGGGAGGGAGGGCCUUAUGUGUGUGGCCCUAUAGAGUGUCUGCAGGACCAGGGACCCUGCCCACAUGGUGACACCAGCAACUUUGGAGCUCAUCCACCCACUUUGACCUCCAGUCCUGGGGAACUCAACUUCUUUUUUUCCCUUGCAGACACUCAGUACUUUAUCCCAUCACCUGUAUGUUGGGCACAGAGUAGGCAGAUAAGAGGAACCCCUGAUGACUGAUUGACAAGCGACAGCCCUGCCCCCUGCAGACCUGGAGUCCAGCCAGGGUGGCUUCAGCAAUGCAGCUCAUCUGGGGCCACCUGUGGCCCGCUCAGGACCUCAAACUCAUUUCCUCCCUCCCUGCCACACUCUCUCCCUGUGAGGUGGGACUACGAGCCAGUCAUGGCAGAGACAUGAGGGAGACUAGAAAUGAGCCUCAAAAAAGCAGAACAAACAGUCCACUUCUUGGGACAUCUGAGCAGAAUGUGCUCUUGACACUGAUGGUGCAGCUACACUGUACAACCACCCCAAGCAGAUAUUGUUGGCUCCAUUUACAGAUGAGAAAACUGAGACUCAGAAAAGUAAAUGACAGUCCCCAAGAAGUGUAGCCUGGUCACCAGACCCCAAUUUCCCUUUCCUCUCUGCAUUUCUCACCAAAGUUUAAUACACAUGAUAUGCAAAAUAUGCAAAUGAGCGCUGUCCAGCACCAAGCCCCGCUACCUCCAGGACAAGUCCCCACACUAUCCCCCUAGUCUUGCUUGUUCUUCCCUCUCAGUUCCCACCAAACAAGAUCCUCACCCUGUCUUUCCAGUCUCUGAAGCUUACAUUUGUCACCCACCCCCACUGAGCCCUUAGUGAAGACCCUAAUAAAUUUCCUCCCUCCCUGUGGACUGCCGGCCUCAUCCAUCUCCUCUUUUGUUUUUCCAUCCAGUCACCAUCACCUUGGACCCCCAAAUCUCCCUACUCCCAGCUUGGUGACCUCCCCAGAAACCGUGAAAACAUCUAAUUUACCAAUAUUUGGGAGGAAGCAGGUUCUUAUAAUGGUCUUGCUGUGCUGGCUCCUGGACUGAAGUUCCCAACUGUCAGGGGGUCAGAAAAUGUGUUUCUGGUUUCCACUUUUAUUGUAGUGGUUUGAGUUAUUUCUCUGGGAUGGAUUCGAGACUAGAAUUACGAGGUAAACUUUAAAGCUUCUGAUACAUAUUGCCAAACUGCUUUUCUCCAAGGUUGUUUGAGAGUGCCUGUUUCACAGCAUCCUUUCCGUGAAAUGCACUGGGUUUUAGCAUUAAAAAAAAUUUUUUUUAAAUAGUUUAAUGGGUAAUGAUAUCUGAUUACAAUUUCCAGGAUAUUUAAAUUGUAUUCCUUCAUUAUUGUGAAGUGCUGCCUCAAUCCUUUUCCUACUUAUUGAAGGAGUUAGAAUUUCCUCCAUAGAUUUGGGUGUGUCAGACAUACCCCCUCUGCAGGCAUUGAACCACAUGAGGGUCGGUUCAGAAUGGGACCAAACUGCUUGCCCCAGAUUGCUUACCCCAGAGCUGUGUUUUCAAACUUUUUAUCCAAGCAGCAGAACCUUUUCUCAAACAAUCUCGCACAGCACCUCUUUAUAUAAAACAUUAAUAAGUAGCCUAUGAGGGGAGGCCUGGAGCGCCCCCUCCCGUCCCCCUCCCCCUUCCAGAAGCUCUUCUCACCUGAGGAGGGGCCGCGGGGACCUUCUUGUCCUUCUGGCUGAAGAGGGAGCACUCCCUGCGUGAACUCAAGGACCUGAAAGUAGAUGAGUGGUUCACAGAGGUGUCCGGACCUCCACAGUCACCGAGCAGCGCAGUACAAGUGACCCAGGUACAGAGACCGAGGGGCCGCACCUGCGCCGGAGGCACCGCCACACCCUCCACGUCGCCAAGGAGAGGGUGUGGGCCCCGCUGUCCCCACGAAGUUCAGCCAGAGGGGGUGGGAGCUGAGGUUUGUGGGACGGACCUAGACAGGCCCGGGGGAUAGGAGGGUUGACAGGUGCGGAGGACUCCGUGGGUGGGGGGCACAAGGCUUCCACGUGGACGGCUGGACCCUGGCCAGGCCGGCGAUGUGCAGGUGAGUGGCAGGGGAGAGGCGAAUUAGGAGCCCCGGCUGGGGGGGUGGGGGGUAGGGGUUUGAUCUGAUAGGCGAAGCUAGAACAAUCAGAGUUCUCCCCAGGAGCUUUGUGUAAUCUCAGCCUCACAAAGACACCUGAGGGUGGGGGAGAACUGAACCCAGACCCGGAAAGAGGGACAGUGGCUACUGGGACGAGGGUGGGGCACAGGGAGGAAGCCGCUUGGCCGCAGAUAAGGAGUAGACUGGCAGAGGAAAGGCUCAGCGGGGACGCUUCGUGAACCCAAUGGGGUCUUCGGAGGGGGGCGUUUGGGAGGGCGCUCGUGUGAGCGGAGACCUUUGGACACGAAGCCACCCGCUCCUGGCAUUCCUUGUUGACCCAGUCGGAGGAUCAGCGGGCCCGGACACUCACUCUCUAGUAGGGGUUCUUAGGCCCGGCUGACUCUCUGGCCCCGCCCCACUCUUGUAGCCCCGCCCCUGCCUCAGGUGUUGGAUCCACCCCGAUUUUCUGGUCGCGCGGCCCCUGGGCCCUGGGCCUCAGGCACUACCUGGCCUCGACUCUCUCGGCCCCGCCUCCUGAAACCUGGCCCCGGGCAGCUCUCUGGCCACGCCCCCUGGCCUCGGGCAAAGUCCUGGCUCUUUAGUCCCUCCUUCCAGUCCCAAGUCACGCCCCCGAAUUUGCAGCCGAAUCCCUGGCUUUUGGCUCGGCCUCUUGGAUUUCGGCCCAGGAAGUUCAGCCCGCACCUCGCGCAACCCUGCGCGGAGCUCGUUGGUUUUACACCUUUUCAAGCCAGUUCUGCUGCCCGGCCCAGAGCCCUCUUACCACCCUCACAUCGCAGGCAAGGCAACCGUUACUCCCCAGGGCCCCUCUGGACCAGACCCUGUCCUGUAUAUACACUUAUUUUGCAAAUCACCCAAACUGUUUCAGAAAAAUCUGAAAUUGAGUCCCAAGCCCUCUGCCCUCAAGCCAAAGAUGUUGCAGAGGAGCUGGAAGGAGUGUCUUCUCACUUGGGAAACAGUUGGCGCCCUCCUGAUUAGAAAUCCAUUAGAAAAGCUCCAGUGAGACAAGGGUUCUAGUCAGCUGAAAGGUCUUGGGCAAGUCAUUUAACUUCUGAGCCUCAGAUGCCCCCUCCCCCAUAACACUGGGGUUCCCUACAGGAUCUUGGAUGGCUGUGGCCAGGACCAAGUGAGCACAGGUACUGGAUGUUACCAGCGGGAAGAAGGAAGCCUGAGCCCCUAGGUCCUCGCUCUACAUGCUCUACACGAGGGGGCCCUUGUUUUUAUGGGGACACCCUGGCUUAUUUCCUCUGAGUUAAGCACUUGGCAGGCAUUCCUCCCCACCCAUGGCCUGGGGAGUCCAACCUGCCAAGACGUUAGAGGGUGUCCUGUCCCCUGUGCCUGGGACGCCUGCCUCCUCACCCUCAGUAAGCCGCCUUCACCCUGCCCCUAGACCACAGGCUGACAGACAUCUGAAAGUGGACACAAAGGAGCCAUCCCAACCUUUGCGGCUCUCAGCUCCCACCGCGCUCUCCCAGAGCAGUGAGGAGCUCACACCUCAUCUCUCGAUGAGAGAUUUGCCAAGGAGGGUGUCUUUGUCCUCAGAUAUUUCCCUAUCGUCCGUAAGCUGCAUAGCCUCUCUCCCCUCCCAAACUCUUCUGAAAAAUCCCCUGUGUGUUUUUUCAAAAUAAAAUUAAAUGACAGGAACUAACUAUUUAGGGAGGGGUUCCUGAGGGGAAAUGGAAUCUCUGCAACCUUGAGAUUACAGGACUUUUCCUCUUCUCAAAAGACAAGAAAAACAUGUCAGAUCAUUGAUAUUCUGAGCCAGACCUUGUUUUGAAAAUACGCUGUCCUCUGUCCUUCAACAAACUACAGCCUCUCUCCCUCUUUGAAAAUAAGACCACAUCAAGUCAGGGAUUAGAAAUGGGAAAAAUUCAAUCAGAGCCUCCCUCUGCCAGUUAUAUAUCUCAGUACACUCCCAGGCGAGCAGAAUCAGCUCCCACUAUAACCCAGCUCAGCAUCAUCAUUCAAAACGCACCAGUAGGAAAUGGUGAAACAGAAGGACCUUUCAUCCCGAGUGAGCGAGGCCUGCAGCACUGCUCUCCUAGCUCUGGAAGCUGGCGGUGUCUGGGGCCAGUGGAGCUGGGGCCUGUUGCUUAAAUAGGCAGUGGGAGGGGGUUAGGGCGGGCCUGGGGGGGUGGGCAUGGAAAGUGGGCCAUUUACCCAGCACAGAAAGGCAGUGUCCGCCGAGCCAGCAGUGGUCCUAAACACGCGCCUGCCUGCUUAUCCACCAUGAGCCUCAAGCCCACAGGCCCACAGACCACAGACCAUCACCUGGGAUGACCCCUGAUGGACGUGCAGCUCCAAGUGAGACCACAUGCCCAGACGCACAGAGCUUGGUCUGGGUUCCUGGAUGCCUCUACCUGUCCUGAGACACAGCCUGGAGAGCAGAACCAGCUGUGGAGUUGGAUGGACCUGCUCCCUAGACCAGUAAGUAGUUGCCCCAAGCAGGGCAUCUCACCAAGCCUCAGUUUCUACUUUCUUGUAAUGAGGAUAAUAACACUGACUUUAUAGGUCCAUAAAUAACGUUUGCAAAGGGCCUAGCGCCUAGAAGGUUGGUUUGUUUAACCACAUGAUGAUGCUGGAGUCAGGUUACCUUCAACAAAGUUCAAGCCCAGAGAGGUUUGGUAACAUAAAGUCACACAGCCCUUCAGCUGAGUGUGAGGGUCAGACUUCAUGCAGACCUGAGACUAAGUUGGGUUGGUAGAAGCCCCUUGAGGUGAGUGUGGGGAGCAACUGCUGGCCUUGGGGAAAGGUCUUGACUGAACUCUGGUGAAGCAGUUAUCCCUAGAACCCCAGCACCAAGGUAAGGGAAGAGGCAUGGCUGGACAGACAAGCUGAGCUGGCUAGUCUGUGCAUUUGGUUGGGACCUUAGUGUGGGUUGCAGAAGUAUCCUAGAAUAACUACUAGGAAUGGCUGGUGAGAGGAGUUUGUUUCUUUCUACUUGUACAGAGCAGGUCUUGUUUAGGAGCAUAACUGGUGUGUGGUUAGAAUACACAUGUGUGGUUAGAAUUGCACGUUUUUUCCUGAGGUUUAUCUUUACUCUCAUGAUGUCAGCUCUCUUGUCAUUCUAAUUUCAAAAGAACCUAUCUCCCUUCAUUUUGGCUUGCCAGAUAAUUUAUCAUUCAAAAAUUGAACUAGCAAAUGUUUCUUUCUUUCCCUGAGAGUCAAACUUGAAAGGCACAGUGUGUAUACUUUAGUUCUAGGCUGAGCUGUUUUUUCAUCUCUGGAAACUUUUCUUGUAUUAUUUCUUUCCAGAUGUUUUCCUCAUCGUAUGCCUCAUCCCAUCCAUCUCUCUCUCUCCUAUUUUUGGGCUGCAACCCCAUUUCCCAUUUUCCAGAUCAGUUAUUUGCACCUUUGUUUGUUUUCUGUGUCUCCAUUUCUGGUUGGAUGUUUUAUUUUAUCCUCAACAUCACUGAUUCCUUUGUUCUGUUGUUUCAGUUAGGCAAACUACUACAUCCAGAUGUUUUUCCAUUCUUUUAUAGUCAUGGAAUUACAGCCAUUUUUUGUUGUUGUUGUUCUGUUCUGUUCCUGUUAGUAGUAUUUUGGUCAUUUAUUUCUUUCAGCGUAGUUACUACUCAGUUCACCUUACUUUCUCCUGAGGCUUUGCAGAUUCCAUCAUCUAAAAACAAAUUAAUUGACGUUCCUUGAGGGCCUACUGUGUUCAGACACUGCUGCUUAGUAUCUAACACUGUGGCGCCUGCUUCCCUUCCAAGGUUAACUCAGGAGAAUUCUGCAGUUAGAGCUGCUUUGAGGGAGAUUCUGAUUAACUGAGAUUUAUUCCAUCUUGUUCUAAAAACAAUUCAAGAUGACUUAAACUGUGUUCUAUGUACAAUAUAAUAUGACUUUUUUUUUUAAGCAGUGAGAGAAUUAGGGCUAAGGGAAAAUAAAGGUGGAAAAAACACGAAGCAGCCAAGCAGAGAUGGGAAGAUGGAGUGAGUGAAGGGAGGGUCUUGAUUCUGACGGUAGCCUCAAAUGGGCACAGAGGGGAUGUGCUUUAUGACUGAAACCUGUCCGUUUGAUUUUUGUUGGUGUUGACCCUUUGAGUUCUUAUUUGAAUGGCUGCAGCACAGAACGGGCCACAUGGUACGGCUCACUCUGCAGGCCCCCAGGGUGGGAACCACUUUUGUGUUUUGUUCCCAAUAGGGAUGGAAUUGAAAGGAAACAAGAGGUGAGAUACACUCAUGAUGUGGAUGUGUGGGUGGCUGCCUCUAAACACUGGAACAGUUGCCUCAUGCUCAUCUUCCAAAAGUCAGUAUUGAUUGAGCAACUAAUUAGCCGUGUAUUUCCUGUGCUCUCAAUCAGAUUGUUUCCCUGUUUUGGGGUGGCAGGUGUCAUCUGGGUGAGAAGAAGGCUUCCUGGGGGGCUCUCUCUUCCCAUAGAACACCAGAGUGGCCUCAUUUCACACGUCUCAGGAAAGUUUUCCGAGUGACAGAUUGAUUGGUGUAUGGGUGGUUACCAAAAAAGAUUCUAUUUUAUUAAGCUGUUUGUCUUGCAAAGUGAAAUCGUUUUUUUUAAAAAAAAAAACUUUAUCAAAAUGUCAUCGUCCCGGGGUUUAAGAACGUGCCCUCUGGCUCUGAGGGAAGAUUUGCAGAUCCUACGGGUAAAGAGCUGUCAUGUCAGGGUCUCACUCAAGCCCUUGAGUGAUGAGCUCAGUCGUGGCCGCCAGCCUGAGUCUCUCUUGCGGUGGGGUGGAGGGCACCCAGGGCCAGCUGGGCACCAAAUGAUGUUGCCAAAUCUCACCCUGGUGCCUGAAAUGCCUUUUUUUUUUUUAAUACAUCCAGGGAAAAUAAAAAUUGAGAGAUUCAUGCACAUGAAUGCUCAUGUGUAGGUAAUUUUGCUUUUCUGUUUGAGGAGGAAAUAGAAAACAUUCCACUUGCUCAUUUUUUUUAGAGUAAAAACAAGGAAAUAUAUUAAACAAUUAAAAAGUAUUUGGUUUCCUGGUGGGAUGAAUUGGGAGGUUGGGAUUGACGUAUAUACACUAAUACAUAUAAAAUAGGUAACUAAUAAGAAGCUGCUGUAUAAAAAAAUAAACAAAAUUCAAAACAAAAAAGUAUUUGGUUUCCUGUUGGUGGCACUUAAAGAAGAGAGAAAGACAGAGAGGAGAUUGAAAGCAGUGGAGGGAAGGCAGGAGUCAGAGUCCUGUCCCCAGGGCCCACCCUGCCCUCUCUGCUCCAGCUCCCAGCCCCGGCAGCCCCGGCCCCUUCAGUCGGGUGGGCAGGCUUUGUCCUUGGCUUCUUCCUCACCCUCGACGUGUCCUGUCCAGAGCCAGUUCCUCCCAGCUCUGUGGUCCAUUUCCAGUCCCUGCUGCCCCCCUUCUCUGGCUGUCAUUUCCCCUCAGGCCUCCUCAUUUCUUGCCCGCAUGGUGGCACAGCCAGUAAGCCUGGGUGUGGCCCCUUCCAUCAUGCUCCGUGUCCAAGCCCGUGAUCCCCGCCACGAGCAGUCUGAGUUCAUCCUGCCCUUGCCCAGCAUCUCAGAUCUCUCUCUGUGCACAGAACAAAUCCCCCUACCUUGCCUGGCUUGGGGGCCCUUGGUGAUGGGGCCCCCCCUCCUCAGCCUCACGUCUGCCUUUUUCUUCCUCCCAGUGAUUCAUUGUGAUGGCCUCAACCUCUAGCUUUCCUCUUUCCUGGAACAUGCCAUGCUCUUUCACGCCUCCGUGCCUUUGCACAUGCUGUCCCCUGUGUCUGGAACACCCUCCCCAGUCCAUCUACAUGGCACCCAGCCUCUAAGGCUCAGCUCUGCAGCUGUCAAGCCCCUUCCUUCAACUGCCCACCCACCGGGCUUUGUGCUAGCAGCCCAGAGCCCCCCGAGUGCAGAGCAUGGAGCCCAGUCCCUGAGAGGCACUCAAGGAACCUUGGCUGAAUUAAUAAAAUGGUUUCUAGCCAGACCAGAAAGUCAGUCACCAAAAGGUUCAGUUCCCUCUGUACAAACCAGUUGGCACAGCAGGAGCUGUGAGAAGACUGCUCCUAAUUGUUUGAACUAGUGCAUCCAUUAGGCUGCCUUAUAUAAAGGGAGAUAGGCAAACAUUUAGCCUUAAAUGUUAAAAGACCUCUGUGAACUCAUGUGUGUUGGUGGUAGCGCUUGCAGCUGGCUGAGAUCACUACCAUCAUCAUCAUCAUCAUCAUCAACCUUUUUGGGGGCACCCGCUGCGUGCCAGAAACUGCGCUAAGGAUGUUGCAUGCAGAACCUCUUGUUUAAUUCUCUGAACAGCCUGGGAAGGUUGGGGUGUUAUUGUUCCCAUACUCAGAGAGGGAAACUGAGGCUCGGGGAGGGUAAGUGACUUGUCUGAGUCACACGGCUAGAGAGUGGCAGAGCCCAGACUCUGGGGAAGGCUUAUCGAUGGCCCCCUCCUGGCUAGCGUUUUGACCCUCCAGGGCUGCCUAAUGCUCAGGAGGCACCCACAGACCAGGGAGGAACACCCCAGGGGUCUGGGAAGGCUUGUAGCCACCACCCUCCCCCCUCUCUGCUGCCACCCUCCUGUCCCAGAGGGACUUGAGGUGGAUGCUGCCACUAUUUGUCCUUAGCACCAGAGUGUGGAUUGGUCCAAGGGCUGUUGCUCAGGACAGAAUGCUGGUGAGGCUUGGAAGGUAUGAACCCUCAGGAACUGGGCAGAGCUAUCGCUGUGGGGCUGGGCAGGUGCUGUGAGGACACGCUGGCCAAGCUCAUUGUCUCUCACCUGGUCCUUCAGCCUGGCCCCCACCAUCUGUUCUCACACAGAAGCCAAAGUGAUCUUUCUGCGUGCAAACCUGAGUGCCUUCCAAGCUUAAAACUCUUUCAUUGCCCCCAGAAUAAAAUCCAUGCCCUGAGCCCACCACCGUGUCACGUCUCACUCUUUGCCAGUCUUCUCCUCCUCUGCUUGUACCGCCAGAGCCCUUCUGUUUCCUCCAUGGUCCUGGUCCCUCUCAGGCAGGGUCUUUCCUCACUCUGUCCCCUCAUGCUGGAACCCCCCUGCCUUGGCUGGCUGGCUGCUCCUCAGCUUCAGGCCUCAGCGGAAAAGUCUUCCUCAGGGAAGCCUUCCCGAUCUCCCCGGCAGUCAGUAUGACCUCCUGCAGGCCUCCUGCAGGCAGCACCUGGUGCUCCCAGCCCUGCCUCAGGUGAGCUCUAGAGGGGCUAGGGGCUGGGACCUGGCCACCUGCAUACAGACAGAGCCAUGGGGACUGACGACCAGGAGGGACAACAUACCCCAAAUGUGACCCUCCAGAGGGAGAUGCCAAAUCUGGUUCCAGGAUGUUGGGGCUUCAUACUGGGAGAGGGGCGGUCCAAGAGGCGGGCAGUGCCUGGAACGUGCGGGGCUGUGGCCACGUGGACCCCAAGCUGAAGCCACAGCUGUGGACGUCCAUUUUCAAGGAAGGCAGGCGGAGGGAAAAAAGGGGUCAAGGACAGAAACUUGAGACGUAUCCCAUUUUUGGCUUGGUGAGGACGGAGCCAGAAAGAGCACUUGGGAGAAGGCGGAAGAAAGCAGAAAAAAAAAAGUAGCUAAGAUAUAGCACUGUUUUUAUUUAGGUCUCAGAUAGUCUUACUUUUUUUCUGUUUCACUUAGAAUAGCUGGAACAGGAGGGCCCUACGUGGCAGUCCCUGGGAUGAGAAAACCGUGUGUCAAGGCGGCUGCCGAAUCCCUCUCUAUUUUUAGGUUCCUGACACUACCUCUUUGAGCCCCGAGGAGGCAUCCUGGCCUGAGGUGGACUGAGCUGGCAUCUCUGAGGCAGAUGUGGCCAGCCCUCACCUUGUUCUCCAGAAACCACCAAAAAGUCAGCCCAGCUGACCAACAGAGAUCCCAGACCCUUCUCUGCAAAUUCAUGGAGGUGGUGGUCACUAAGAGCCAACAACGUUCCGCAGACUCCUACCCCAGCCUCCCUUCACUGCACGGGCCUGCCUUCCAGACCUCUCUGCAAAGCUCCAACACGCCCUCACCCACACCAGGGCCAGCUAAUGACCUACCUCUGGUCCAUCAAGUCCCUCUUUUGGACUGUUGCUUCUCCAGCUCCUCUCACAAUUGAUAGAGGGUCAGAGACGACCAGGGACCCUUCCCUCAUGCUCCACAUAGCGGAUGCCUCAGGGUCCGGUUUCCAAGCACUGGCUCGUGCAUUUACCCCAUGGGAUGAUGAUGAUGAAGUACUCAGCCUUAUUCCUAACGGAGAAGAUAUUAUUAUUAUCACUCUUUACGGAUGAGGAAACUGAGGCUCAGAGAGGUUGACGGACUUGCCCAAAGAUACCCAGCCUGAUAUGGAGCCUGUCUAGCCCUUGCAAAGCUGUACAGCCUGCUUACCUGGGAUGAUAAGCGGCACUUCACCCUUAUCCCUUUUAUCCCUGCCCAGCCAGGUGGAAGGUUCUACCACCUCUACUUAAUGCACGGAGAUAACGGCUAGGCUUGGCUUCCUGUGAAACUGUUCCACUCUGGAAAAACCCUGGACCACUGGCCAUGAGGGUCAUACACUCACCUUUCCCCUUCUUUAAUAAUCAAGUUCAGGUAACAAGCCCUUUGUCAGGAUAAGAUGUAAAGUAUGUGGCAAUACCCUUGCUCAAUUUGAAAGGACUCCUUGUGAUUUAUGUCUGAAUCUUAGUUGGUCCCCAAUCCCAUUACUCUAAAAUUUGGUUAGAAUCUCACAGAAGACAGUACAAUACUUCAAUUUUUCUUCUACAAUAGCAGUAGGAAAAAAAAAUAGUGGUCAGGAGGAGUCUCUGGAGUCUAAGAUAUCCAGGCUGGAGCAUAAACGCUGCUCCUUCUGACCUGUAUAACCAUGGACAAACCCCUUUCCUCUCAAAGUUUCAUUUCCUCAUCUUGAAAGUGGAAGUAACACCACCACCCACAUCAUAGGACUGUGAGGAUUAAAUACAUCCUUACAUGUCAAGAGCCUGACCCAGAAAUGUUUCCUCUUAUUAUUAGCUUGUAAUUCUUUAAAUAGGGAUCGCUGAUGGGUUCAUUCGAAGUGAUGCAGUAGAUCGUCUACAGCUAUGUUUUCUCCUGUUCCAUUCUGUGAUGAGCUUUGGGGAAAUCCUCACAGAGGCCGUGGUCCUCAGAGCUUGCUUCUACUCCAUGCCCUAAAAUUCUCCCUUUCCACUAGGCGGGGCUGGGGCCAGUGCUCCAGAACCUUGGACAGCUCCACACCCUAGGGACUGCUGGGCGGCCUGAGGGAGCAGGAAGCACUUAGGGGAUUUUCCCAGAAGGGCUGCAUUAGUGUGGGGAUUUAGGAAUCCCAAAAGCCGCAGUCUCAUUCCCAGCCUGUGUACCACUUGAAUGCAUACGGAGAUUCUUCAACACAACCAGCCCUCCUGGAAAAUUCUGAGGAGCCUCUCCUCAGAAACUCCAUCCAUAGGAGUUACCGAAUCUUCAGGGCCUUUCCUUCUCUCCUAUGAAUUCCAAGGAUUUUUUCUUUUUUGAGCCCAAGAAGAACAGAAAUACUACCCACAACUUCCUGUAUCUGCUGAUUUUUAAUUUGUUUGGCUUCAGUACAAGGAUUAAACAUUCUUGAUUAACCUCAAGUGAAAGUAAUAAUGUAUGAGUAUGAAGAAAGGCUUUAGAAGACAGAGAUUCACGUAUGAAUUUUAAAAAACAAUGUUAUUGCCUGUAUCUGAUGUUAAGCAACAUUCUCUAAUUAGGAUAAGCAGGUAGUUCAAUUUAUGAGAUAAUUUAGCUUUUCGCUCUCCAGUGCAGAACACAACAUGCAUAUGCAGUCACCUUUCAAACAGGCAAGGAGGAGAUUAAGUCCUAUUUUUACUUUAUGAUACUGAGUCAUGUAGUUCAAUGAAAAUCACAUGGAUGCCAAAGUAAGAACAAUACCAGGUAUUUAAAUAUCUCUUUUCCUUUAAGGAGCUCUAAAGAGUUUGUGGCUGCAUGAAAUCACUUCAGAGCAACACCAGGAGAGGAGACACAUGUCAUCAGGUGGGCAUUUAAGACUGAGCACAUCUCAUCCAUCUCCCCUGCUCCCAUCAUUAGGCCUGGAGGAGCCAAUGUUUCCCAGUUCUUUGCAUUUAGAAAUAGACUCCUGAUAUCUGCAUUUUCAGGGCCGUAUUGUUGAUGAGAAAAAGAAAGCAUAUGUUUGAAAAAUAUGUUUUUGACUAAUAAUGAGGAAGAGGGGAGGAUAAAAGUAGAAUAGGAAGAAAAAGGAGAAAGGAAUUGAAGAAGGAGAGGAAAAGAGAGGAAAUAUACUUAAAUCUCCCUGAGCUUGAUGAAUGUUUUUCAUGCUUUUUUCUCUUAAACAAAUUUGAUGCCCACCCCCAACUGCAUGAAAACUUGAACAAACGUC
Molecule: long non-coding RNA, 18729 nt
Organism: Orcinus orca (killer whale)
Lineage: Eukaryota; Metazoa; Chordata; Mammalia; Artiodactyla; Delphinidae
Exons: 5
Source: RefSeq, a predicted model, not a curated record